This 349-nucleotide unclassified non-coding RNA is filed under the name soil metagenome. RNAcentral describes it as "partial contains 5.8S ribosomal RNA, internal transcribed spacer 2, and large subunit ribosomal RNA". The stretch from base 1 to 120 matches the Rfam family "5.8S ribosomal RNA", at positions 35 to 154 of the family's 154-position model. The record is from RNAcentral.
GAUGAAGAACGCAGCGAAAUGCGAUAACUAAUGCGAAUUGCAGAAUUCCGUGAAUCAUCGAGUCUUUGAACGCACAUUGCGCCCCCUGGUAUUCCGGGGGGCAUGCCUGUCCGAGCGUCAUUGCUGCCCAUCAAGCACGGCUUGUGUGUUGGGUCCUCGUCCCCCCCGGGGGACGUGCCCGAAAGGCAGCGGCGGCACCGCGUCCGGUCCUCGAGCGUAUGGGGCUUUGUCACCCGCUCUGCAGGCCCGGCCGGCGCUGGCCGACGCGAAAGCAACCAUUUUUUCUCCAGGUUGACCUCGGAUCAGGUAGGGAUACCCGCUGAACUUAAGCAUAUCAAUAAGCGGAGGA